AAGAGGGUUGCUGACGU
Molecule: unclassified non-coding RNA, 17 nt
Filed under: Mus musculus (house mouse)
Lineage: Eukaryota; Metazoa; Chordata; Mammalia; Rodentia; Muridae
Description: oocyte_clustered_small_RNA5429
Source: RNAcentral